Molecule: small nucleolar RNA, 103 nt
Organism: Macaca fascicularis (crab-eating macaque)
Lineage: Eukaryota; Metazoa; Chordata; Mammalia; Primates; Cercopithecidae
Source: Ensembl
ACCCAAAAUUCUCCAAAGCAUGAUGAUUGGGUUUUCAUACUAAUGUGUGAAAUGUGCCUCCCUCAAGCCUUGUUACGACAAAUAAAAUUCUCCCCAGGUGAUU